This 465-nucleotide ribosomal RNA is filed under the name uncultured bacterium. RNAcentral describes it as "partial 16S ribosomal RNA". It matches the Rfam family "Bacterial small subunit ribosomal RNA", at positions 28 to 507 of the family's 1533-position model. The record is from RNAcentral.
GAUGAACGCUGGCGGCGUGCUUAACACAUGCAAGUCGAACGGAAAGGCUCCUGCUUGCAGGGGUACUCGAGUGGCGAACGGGUGAGUAACACGUGGGUGAUCUGCCCUGCACUUCGGGAUAAGCCUGGGAAACUGGGUCUAAUACCGGAUAGGACGAUGGUUUGGAUGCCAUUGUGGAAAGUUUUUCGGUGUGGGAUGAGCUCGCGGCCUAUCAGCUUGUUGGUGGGGUAAUGGCCUACCAAGGCGUCGACGGGGAGCCGGCCUGGGAGGGGGUACGGCCACAUUGGGGCUUGGGUACGGCCCAGACCCCUACGGGGGGCAGCAGGGGGGAAUAUUGCACAAUGGGCGCAAGCCUGAUGCAGCGACGCCGCGUUGGGGAUGACGGCCUUCGGGUUGUAAACUCCUUUCGCUAGGGACGAAGCGCAAGUGACGGUACCUGGAGAAGAAGCACCGGCUAACUACGUG